Molecule: RNA transcript, 2375 nt
Organism: Canis lupus familiaris (dog)
Lineage: Eukaryota; Metazoa; Chordata; Mammalia; Carnivora; Canidae
Gene name: USP6 N-terminal-like protein
Exons: 13
Source: RefSeq, a predicted model, not a curated record
GAAGCCACUGGAGAGCAGGCCACACUGUAAUCUCAGCUGAGGGGGCUCGCACCUCUUUUACCCUCAUUGGGUGUGUGUCCAUUUGUGUAUGUGUAAGAGGGUGUGUUAGUGUGAGACUGUGUGUGUGUGUGUGUGUGUGUGUGUGUAGAGGGGACAGAGGAGAGGAACAUGCCCUUCCUGGGCAGAAACCAGCUGCCACGAUUGGGAAGCCUGGGACAUCUUUGGUGUUCAGACGCCAGGUCAUAGCAGGCAAGAUGAGAAGAGCUGCACCCAGGAGAUCUUAGAGGAGAUGUUCUGUGGCUUCAACUCUUCUAACUCCCUAGACAAUGAUCAGGUGCACCAGGCAACAAGGAGCAGUGCUGUUCUCAGUGGGAUGUUUACGGAUGACUCCAUGGAAUACUGGUCUCCGUAAAAGCUCUGAGUUGAGAGAAAUGCAGGUGUUGCUCAGCUACUGGAAUGUGUUGAAGUUGCCAAUACUCUGCCCUGCGUGCCAACCAACCAAUGGUAUUUUGAAGCCUAGAACCUUUUUCUAUGUGCGCCCUGAAGUCCUUUGUCCUGCACAACUUCCCGAGGGGAUGGGUGUCUCUGGGCUGAGCGCCAGACCCUGUUCUUCCCAGUGGCCCAUGGUUUGGAAGCAGACUGCAGUGCCCUUCCUUGUGUCUCCGGUUUGGAAAGGAAUCAUCCACCCUGACCCCGGGUGUUCAGCACAGCCCAAAGGGUUCUGGGCCAGCAGCUCCACAGACCUUUGGAGGCACUCGUGCUCCGGAUCUGGCUCGCAGCAACCCGACUCUCCUGCUCUCCCCAGUAGCCCAGUACUCCUCUUUGCUCAGUACCCCGUACCCCAGUGCAUAAAGAGGAGGCGCUCACACAGUGACAGGUCACAGGGCUACGGGGUUGUCUCCGGCUCCAGUCAGACAGAGGGGCACCUGCCCACGGGGAGCACCUGGACGCAUGUGUCCUCGGAAGGUUCUCAUGCGCCGUCAUUCUUGGAUGUGUUUGGAUUGCAGCACGAUGCAGGAGGACCUGGAGACCCUGCUGGCCUUGCAAAGGGCCAAUAUGGUGGCUCAGUACCAUCAGGCGCACCAAGCAGGGUCUCCGCAGGACCUGUCACUGUGGAAGGUCACCGACCACCAGGGCUUUCUGAAAUGAGUCCCCUGGACACCUCUCAUCCAUCUCAGGGUGGGUGCAGUCCCUUUCAGCAGGGGCUCCUGCAGGGACAAGGAGCUGCCCGGCCCCAGCCCCCGCGAGGCCAAGAAACUCCACCAGGAGACCCAAGCGUGGACAAAUGGAUAAAAAUGCUCAAGCGAUGGGACCACUACCUCCCCAGCGAGAAGCUGAGUCUUCAAGGGGGUCCCGCCCCAGGUGCGGGAACAGGUGUGGCUGCGAUUGCUGAAGGUCAACCAGGUUAAGGCCAGGAAUGCCGGGAAAUACCAGGAAAUGAAGGAGGCGGCCCUGGUCUCCUCCUGGGACAUCAUGCAAAUCAACCUGGACGUCAACCGGACGUUCCGCAGUCACACCAUGUUCUGGGACCGCUACGGGGUCAGGCAGCGAGCCCUGUUCCACGUGCUGGCGGCCUACUCGGUGUACGACACCGUGAGUGUCCCUGCCCCUGCCUCCUGCCCCGCAGGCGGCCUUGUCCUGAGUGCUGGUGACCAGCGGGACUCACGGUUAGGGCCCCAGCUCCACGGCCCCGAGAUGCCGGGGAGGGUCUCUCUCCUCCAGGACGAGCAGGGGGCUGGGUGCAGACCUCCCAGGGGAGGCAGGGCCUGCGUACCCCAGGGCCCCCGUGUGCACCGCGGCCGUCCUAGAACUCGGAUCUGGACCCUGACAGAUGGGACUACUGAUGAGAACCCGGGCGGGGAAGGCUCCCACUCCCCUGAAGGGCACCAGGCCGAGGUGCCCAGGAGGCUGCUCCCUUCCAUGGCGCAUUCCAGAAGGGCCCCCUGAGGACCCCAGCUCACACACUCCAAGGUCCCGUGGGGUGUCCUGGCCCUGCUCCCCUCGUGGGACCUCCCAGGGGCCACAGUCAGGCCCCCGACCUGCCCUCAGUGGGGGGGUCUCCAGACCUGGUGGGUCCCCUGCAGCCUGGCACAGCUCACAGAGGCCCCUCCUCCUGGUCUGAGGACGGGGGCCCUGGUAUGGUGGCUGCAGGGCUCGGUAGUGGGGCCCAGGGUGCUGGCGCCCGAGCUGGUCCGGGUGGCCCUCACCUGCCCCGCCCCGCCCUCUGGGAGCCCCCUCCGGGACCCCCCUCCAGGAACCCGGGUUUGUGAGGGAGCCGGGGGAGCCUGACGCCUGCGGGGAGGGCUCAGAGGGGGCUCGGGGUGCACGCCCUCCGUGGGGCUCUGGCUCUUGCAGGAGGUGGGCUACUGCCAGGG